RNAcentral lists this ribosomal RNA (468 nucleotides) under uncultured bacterium. RNAcentral describes it as "partial 16S ribosomal RNA". It matches the Rfam family "Bacterial small subunit ribosomal RNA", at positions 28 to 507 of the family's 1533-position model. The record is from RNAcentral.
GACGAACGCUGGCGGCGUGCUUAACACAUGCAAGUCGAACGGAAAGGCCCUGCUUUUGUGGGGUGCUCGAGUGGCGAACGGGUGAGUAGCACGUGAGUAACCUGCCCUUGACUUUGGGAUAACUUCAGGAAACUGGGGCUAAUACCGGAUAGGAGCUCUUGCUGCAUGGUGGGGGUUGGAAAGUUUCGGCGGUUGGGGAUGGACUCGCGGCUUAUCAGCUUGUUGGUGGGGUAGUGGCUUACCAAGGCUUUGACGGGUAGCCGGCCUGAGAGGGUGACCGGCCACAUUGGGACUGAGAUACGGCCCAGACUCCUACGGGAGGCAGCAGUGGGGAAUAUUGCACAAUGGGCGGAAGCCUGAUGCAGCAACGCCGCGUGCGGGAUGACGGCCUUCGGGUUGUAAACCGCUUUCGCCUGUGACGAAGCGUGAGUGACGGUAAUGGGUAAAGAAGCACCGGCUAACUACGUG